RNAcentral lists this transfer RNA (72 nucleotides) under Pangasianodon gigas (Mekong giant catfish). Its description in RNAcentral is "tRNA-Gln". The record is from RNAcentral. Lineage: Eukaryota; Metazoa; Chordata; Actinopteri; Siluriformes; Pangasiidae.
UCCCUGGAGGAAUAGUGGUUAGGCCACAGUGCUCUGACCGCCACGGCCCAGGUUCUAUUCUGGGCCAGGGAG